AUUGAACGCUGGCGGCAGGCCUAACACAUGCAAGUCGAGCGGAUGAAGGGAGCUUGCUCCUGGAUUCAGCGGCGGACGGGUGAGUAAUGCCUAGGAAUCUGCCUGGUAGUGGGGGAUAACGUCCGGAAACGGGCGCUAAUACCGCGUACGUCCUGAGGGAGAAAGUGGGGGAUCUUCGGACCUCACGCUAUCAGAUGAGCCUAGGUCGGAUUAGCUAGUUGGUGGGGUAAAGGCCUGCCAAGGCGACGAUCCGUAACUGGUCUGAGAGGAUGAUCAGUCACACUGGAACUGAGACACGGUCCAGACUCCUACGGGAGGCAGCAGUGGGGAAUAUUGGACAAUGGGCGAAAGCCUGAUCCAGCCAUGCCGCGUGUGUGAAGAAGGUCUUCGGAUUGUAAAGCACUUUAAGUUGGGAGGAAGGGCAGUAAGUUAAUACCUUGCUGUUUUGACGUUACCAACAGAAUAAGCACCGGCUAACUUCGUG
This 484-nucleotide ribosomal RNA is filed under the name uncultured bacterium. RNAcentral describes it as "partial 16S ribosomal RNA". It matches the Rfam family "Bacterial small subunit ribosomal RNA", at positions 30 to 507 of the family's 1533-position model. The record is from RNAcentral.